GAACGGAAGCUCUUUAAAACGAAGUUAUGUGUAUUGUAUCAAAAGGGUCGUUGUCAUCGCCAGAAUUGCUCCUUCGCCCAUGGAAGUGUUGAGCUUCGACAAUUUUUGGGUUCUUCUAACGGUAAGUGGGACCAUCGAGGUGGUGACUUGAGGGAUAAGCUUGACAAGAGGCUUUCUCCACAGCGUAGAAUUUCUCCAGGAAGAAAUACAAGAAGCCGGCAUACAUUUCAUGGAUCUAGCCCUUCCAGGUCCAUUGAGAAAAACAGUGACAGAAAACGCAGGAAAAAACAGCAUUUUGAUGGUCAAAGUGAUUUAUCCAGAAGUCUGAAAAGUUCAGAUGGGGCAGAAGAUCGGGUUAAAAGAAGAAAAAC
Molecule: unclassified non-coding RNA, 371 nt
Filed under: Hevea brasiliensis (rubber tree)
Lineage: Eukaryota; Viridiplantae; Streptophyta; Magnoliopsida; Malpighiales; Euphorbiaceae
Source: RNAcentral